Molecule: long non-coding RNA, 358 nt
Organism: Pungitius pungitius (ninespine stickleback)
Lineage: Eukaryota; Metazoa; Chordata; Actinopteri; Perciformes; Gasterosteidae
Exons: 4
Source: RefSeq, a predicted model, not a curated record
UGGACUACAUAUAAGAACAUCUCAACCUUCAGAGCAACAAAAACCUCCUCCAUCAUCUGCAAGACAGUCGGCUGAAGUUGUGAAGACUUGAAGAAGAGAUCACUGUAAUCAUGCUGAAAGAAGUAUUGGUGCUGGGAUGCCUCCUGAGCGUCGUUCUGGCUCAGCCUUGGGACAUGGAGCACAAACGACUUGCUCGGUCUGACUCCGGUUCUAACUCUAACUCAAAUUCCAAUGAGGUUUCCACACCAGUAGUCAACCAGCUUUUUCAGCAACAGUUGCUCCAGCUCCUUCUGAACCUCCUCAGCCAACGAUUUACCACUCCUGCCACCACUCCUGCAACAACCACAACUGCAGCUAC